UACGUAGGGUGCGAGCGUUGUCCGGAAUUAUUGGGCGUAAAGAGCUCGUAGGCGGUUUGUCGCGUCUGCCGUGAAAGUCCGGGGCUCAACUCCGGAUCUGCGGUGGGUACGGGCAGACUAGAGUGAUGUAGGGGAGACUGGAAUUCCUGGUGUAGCGGUGAAAUGCGCAGAUAUCAGGAGGAACACCGAUGGCGAAGGCAGGUCUCUGGGCCACUACUGACGCUGAGAAGCGAAAGCGUGGGGAGCGAACAGG
This 253-nucleotide ribosomal RNA is filed under the name uncultured bacterium. RNAcentral's name for it is "partial 16S ribosomal RNA". It matches the Rfam family "Bacterial small subunit ribosomal RNA", at positions 524 to 776 of the family's 1533-position model. The record is from RNAcentral.